GAUGAACGCUGGCGGCGUGCCUAAUACAUGCAAGUCGAGCGAACAGACGAGGAGCUUGCUCCUCUGACGUUAGCGGCGGACGGGUGAGUAACACGUGGAUAACCUACCUAUCAGACUGGGAUAACUUCGGGAAACCGGAGCUAAUACCGGAUAAUAUAUUGAACCGCAUGGUUCAAUAGUGAAAGACGGUUUUGCUGUCACUUAUAGAUGGAUCCGCGCCGCAUUAGCUAGUUGGUAAGGUAACGGCUUACCAAGGCAACGAUGCGUAGCCGACCUGAGAGGGUGGUCGGCCACACUGGAGCUGGGACACGGUCCAGACUCCUGCGGGAGGCAGCAGUAGGGAAUCGUCCGCAGUAGGCGGAAGCCUGACGGAACAACGCCACGUGAGUGAUGAAGGUCUUCGGAUCGUAAAGCUCUGUUAUUGGGGAAGAACAGAUGUGUAAGUAACUAUGCACGUCUUGACGGUACCUAAUCAGAAAGCCACGGCUAACUACGUG
This 497-nucleotide ribosomal RNA is filed under the name uncultured bacterium. Its description in RNAcentral is "partial 16S ribosomal RNA". It matches the Rfam family "Bacterial small subunit ribosomal RNA", at positions 28 to 507 of the family's 1533-position model. The record is from RNAcentral.